AGAGACCCACAGACCCAAGUGGAACUGCAGGACGGAUCCACUCACCUCAUCCCAGAGUUCUUCACCUCAUACCCACCUUCACCUCUCAGAAGGAAAACUUCUGGGUCAAAGUUUUUAAAGGUAUUGGAAAGUUCUGUAAAAUACCAUCUUCUCAGCAUGGCACAACCAUUGUGAUCAAUAACGCCC
This is a long non-coding RNA of Mastomys coucha (southern multimammate mouse), 186 nucleotides long. RefSeq lists it as uncharacterized. NCBI's taxonomy places the organism in Eukaryota, Metazoa, Chordata, Mammalia, Rodentia, Muridae. The record is from RefSeq and is a predicted model, not a curated record. The transcript is spliced from 3 exons.